Molecule: ribosomal RNA, 200 nt
Filed under: uncultured bacterium
Lineage: Bacteria
Description: partial 16S ribosomal RNA
Rfam family: Bacterial small subunit ribosomal RNA
Source: RNAcentral
AGAGUUUGAUCCUGGCUCAGGACGAACGCUGGCGGCGUGCUUAACACAUGCAAGUCGAGCGGAAAGGCCCUUUCGGGGGUACUCGAGCGGCGAACGGGUGAGUAACACGUGAGUAACCUGCCCCAGUCUUUGGGAUAACCCUCGGAAACGGGGGCUAAUACCGGAUAUUCAUUCUUGCCGGCAUCGGUGGGGGUGGAAAG